This is a long non-coding RNA of Daphnia pulex (common water flea), 455 nucleotides long. RefSeq lists it as uncharacterized. The record is from RefSeq and is a predicted model, not a curated record. NCBI's taxonomy places the organism in Eukaryota, Metazoa, Arthropoda, Branchiopoda, Diplostraca, Daphniidae. The transcript is spliced from 2 exons.
AUUUGAGGAAAAUGGUUACUUGGUUAGAAUAGAUUUAAAUCCUACAGUUCCUCAUUGUUCACUUGCCAGCCUUAUUGGCCUCUGCCUGAGAGGCAAGAUUCAGAAAAAUGUGGUGGAAAGGAUCAAAUUGGACAUAGUUAUUGCAGAGGGUAAACACAGCACAGAAGAAGAGAGAAAGACUAAGAGUCGCCGCCGCCUAAGAGAAUCUUAACUUAAAAGAAAUGUUCAAUAGUUGCAUAAGAGAUAAAGAAUAAGAAUUUUUUUGAGAAGAAAAAAAAAUAAAAGACAAUAAAUUUCGUCAGAGUAUUUUGUAUUCCAUUCCAUGAGAUCAACUCACAAGUAUGAAAGGCACUGCAGAGACAAUUUCAUCGCACAUAUCGAUUGAUUUUAGUAGAAGACUAGAACAAUUACCAAAAAGCUCCCUGGUAUAUUUAUAAAUUUUGCAAGUGUUAUCU